This 460-nucleotide ribosomal RNA is filed under the name uncultured bacterium. RNAcentral's name for it is "partial 16S ribosomal RNA". It matches the Rfam family "Bacterial small subunit ribosomal RNA", at positions 338 to 795 of the family's 1533-position model. The record is from RNAcentral.
CCUACGGGGUGCUGCAGUGAGGAAUAUUGGUCAAUGGACGAGAGUCUGAACCAGCCAAGUAGCGUGAAGGAUGACUGCCCUAUGGGUUGUAAACUUCUUUUAUAUGGGAAUAAAAUGUUCCACGUGUGGGAUUUUGUAUGUACCAUAUGAAUAAGGAUCGGCUAACUCCGUGCCAGCAGCCGCGGUAAUACGGAGGAUCCGAGCGUUAUCCGGAUUUAUUGGGUUUAAAGGGAGCGUAGGUGGAUUGUUAAGGCAGUUGUGAAAGUUUGCGGCUCAACCGUAAAAUUGCAGUUGAAACUGGCAGUCUUGAGUACAGUAGAGGUGGGCGGAAUUCGUGGUGUAGCGGUGAAAUGCUUAGAUAUCACGAAGAACUCCGAUUGCGAAGGCAGUUCACUGGACUGCAACUGACACUGAGGCUCGAAAGUGUGGGUAUCAAACAGGAUUAGAUACCCUUGUAGUC